This 679-nucleotide long non-coding RNA is filed under the name Anser brachyrhynchus (Pink-footed goose). Its description in RNAcentral is "lncRNA (ENSABRG00000020079.1)". Lineage: Eukaryota; Metazoa; Chordata; Aves; Anseriformes; Anatidae. The record is from RNAcentral.
CUUUGCAGAAGUCCCCUGUGAUAUCCAUGUGUUCUCUGGACACCUCGGCCGUGAGCUCUGCCUGCGUUGCAUUCUGCAGGAGAUAGUGCUGGAGUCUCAACUUGAGCAGAAGCCAUGAGCAGAUCUUCCUCAACCCUUAAUAGCCACAUCUCUGGUCUAAAACUUUGAAUGCAGUCUUAAAACUAAGGGCAGAGCUGAAGGCCUGUGCUGACUGAAGGCUUCUCCUGGUGUUCUGCCCAGGGACCUGGUCCUUCGCACUCCUGUAGAUAUGAAGCCUCCAAAUGCUCCGGUGUGUGCUCUGACAGCAAGGGAGGUGCAGAAGACAUUUUCCGACCAAAACAUCUUCAACUGUUUUUUGGCUUCAAGUUGUCGAAAGAUUUGGAGUAUUAGAUACCAAUCCUCAACCCUGAAAGUUAGUUUUCUCCAGAUCUCUGAGCAUCCACCAAACCACACCAUUUCAAAGGUGUACAUUGCAAAGCAAAGCCUGCUUUCAGUUCUGAAGGCACAGCGUCAAGUCCUGGUGCUUCACAAGGAGCCACGGCCAAGUGUGUACGGGGACAGUUGGCAGCAAAUACGUGGUAGAUCUGAGUUUUCCUGUGACGUGCCAACGCCCUGGUUGUAUCUCUGUGUGGUGCCUGCCUCCCGGCUGGCUGAUGGGCUGAGACGUGAGCGAGGGGUC